UUUCCCAGUCUGUGAGUGACUGAGUAUAAUGCAGUGGAGGCUGAGAGAGACCCAGCUCUAGUAAGCAGGGUUGUCCAUACGAUUGGCAACUCUGAGCAGAAGCUGGAACAAAA
This 113-nucleotide small nucleolar RNA is filed under the name Hucho hucho (huchen). RNAcentral's name for it is "Small nucleolar RNA SNORA65 (ENSHHUG00000051033.1)". Lineage: Eukaryota; Metazoa; Chordata; Actinopteri; Salmoniformes; Salmonidae. The record is from RNAcentral.